CUCUUGGAAAAAAAAAAAAAAAAAAAAAAAAAAAAAAAAAAAAAUCUGUUCUUAUCAGUUUAAUAUCUGAUACGUCCCCUAUCUGGGGACCAUAUAUUAAAUGGAUUUUUAGAACAGGGAGAUGGAAGAAGAGCUUGCUCUGUCCACUCCACGCAUUGACCUGGUAUUGCAGUACCUCCAGGACCGGUGCACCUCUC
Spea bombifrons (plains spadefoot toad) is the source of this 197-nucleotide small nuclear RNA. RefSeq annotates it as U2 spliceosomal RNA. The record is from RefSeq and is a predicted model, not a curated record. NCBI's taxonomy places the organism in Eukaryota, Metazoa, Chordata, Amphibia, Anura, Pelobatidae. The transcript has a single exon.